UACGUAGGGUGCAAGCGUUGUCCGGAAUUAUUGGGCGUAAAGAGCUCGUAGGCGGUUUGUUGCGUCGGCUGUGAAAUCCCGAGGCUCAACCUCGGGGUCUGCAGUCGAUACGAGCAAACUAGAGUGUUGCAGGGGGAGACUGGGAAUUCCCUGGUGUAGCGGUGAAAUGCGCAGAUAUCGGGAGGAACACCUGUGGCGAAAGCGGCGCACUGGACCACAACUGACGCUGGAGGCGCGAAAGC
RNAcentral lists this ribosomal RNA (242 nucleotides) under uncultured bacterium. Its description in RNAcentral is "partial 16S ribosomal RNA". It matches the Rfam family "Bacterial small subunit ribosomal RNA", at positions 524 to 760 of the family's 1533-position model. The record is from RNAcentral.